Molecule: long non-coding RNA, 475 nt
Organism: Sander lucioperca (pikeperch)
Lineage: Eukaryota; Metazoa; Chordata; Actinopteri; Perciformes; Percidae
Exons: 3
Source: RefSeq, a predicted model, not a curated record
UUUAAUGCAAACGCUUAAACCUAGAAUAAAGUGCAAUAUCUAGUUCGCCACUAGGUGGCAGUGCACAAUGAAACGUUCUUUUUCUGCUGUUUCCUGGCAUUUGUUCUUCUUCUGCUGUUCCUGGCAUUCGUUUUUGCCUUAAAAAAAAGCCUGAAAAACGGGAGCUCGAGCGGAAGUAACUAUUACAAUUAAAAUUGAUCUAGAAGCUGAAAUAUAUCCUCGAGGUUGAACUACAUUGAACAUUACACGACAUCUGUUGUAAACAAAGUUAUCUCGUGGAUUUCAGUGGAUUAAAAACCAGUUUGGCUAUCGACAAUAGCAGUGGAUGUUACCCCACAGACUGGUUUUUUUUUAGGCUUCUCUGGUCCCGGAUCCCUGAUGUUCUUUCCAUUGAGGCUGGAUUCUUCUCUGUUCACCCUGGUGCCUGGUUCCUUGGUCCACUGCCUCAUCUAACAGCGCUGCAACGGUCACAUUG